CAGUCGCCGCGGUAAUACGGAGGGUGCAAGCGUUAAUCGGAAUUACUGGGCGUAAAGCGUGCGUAGGCGGCUUCUUAAGUCGGAUGUGAAAUCCCUGAGCUUAACUUAGGAAUUGCAUUCGAUACUGGGAAGCUAGAGUAUGGGAGAGGAUGGUAGAAUUCCAGGUGUAGCGGUGAAAUGCGUAGAGAUCUGGAGGAAUACCGAUGGCGAAGGCAGCCAUCUGGCCUAAUACUGACGCUGAGGUACGAAAGCAUGGGGAGCAAACAGGAUUAGAUACCCCGGUAGUCCCUGUCUCUUAUAC
RNAcentral lists this ribosomal RNA (301 nucleotides) under uncultured bacterium. Its description in RNAcentral is "partial 16S ribosomal RNA". It matches the Rfam family "Bacterial small subunit ribosomal RNA", at positions 509 to 807 of the family's 1533-position model. The record is from RNAcentral.